AUACUCUGGUGUUUCUUCAGAUCCUAGAAGUGUUUUGCCCUUUACUAAAGGUCUUUGUGAAGAGGAACUUAUCUGAGUGUUUACCCAAUUUUUUUUGAGGCAAAAACCAA
Molecule: small nuclear RNA, 110 nt
Filed under: Suricata suricatta (meerkat)
Lineage: Eukaryota; Metazoa; Chordata; Mammalia; Carnivora; Herpestidae
Description: U5 spliceosomal RNA (ENSSSUG00005018545.1)
Rfam family: U5 spliceosomal RNA
About the family: U5 RNA is a component of both types of known spliceosome.
Source: Rfam by way of RNAcentral